RNAcentral lists this ribosomal RNA (316 nucleotides) under uncultured Anaerolineaceae bacterium. Its description in RNAcentral is "bacterial SSU rRNA". It matches the Rfam family "Bacterial small subunit ribosomal RNA", at positions 1051 to 1382 of the family's 1533-position model. The record is from RNAcentral. Lineage: Bacteria; Bacillati; Chloroflexota; Anaerolineae; Anaerolineales; Anaerolineaceae.
GUCGUCAGCUCGUGUCGUGAGAUGUUCGGUUAAGUCCGCUAACGAGCGCAACCCUCGUCGUAUGUUAUAUGUGUCAUACGAGACUGCCGGUAAAAGCCGGAGGAAGGUGAGGAUGAUGUCAAGUCAGCAUGACCUUUAUAUCCAGGGCUACACACACGCUACAAUGGUCUGUACAAUGGGUAGCCAAGCCGCGAGGCGGAGCCAAUCCUGAAAGCAGGCCUCAGUUCAGAUUGCAGUCUGCAACUCGACUGCAUGAAGCCGGAGUUGCUAGUAACCGCAGGUCAGCAAUACUGCGGUGAAUACGUUCCCGGGUCUU